GCUAAACGCGAAGAACCUUACCUGGCCUUGACAUGUCCGGAAUUCUGCAGAGAUGCGGAAGUGCCUUCGGGAAUCGGAACACAGGUGCUGCAUGGCUGUCGUCAGCUCGUGUCGUGAGAUGUUGGGUUAAGUCCCGCAACGAGCGCAACCCUUGUCCUUAGUUGCCAGCGAGUAAUGUCGGGAACUCUAAGGAGACUGCCGGUGACAAACCGGAGGAAGGUGGGGAUGACGUCAAGUCCUCAUGGCCCUUACGGCCAGGGCUACACACGUACUACAAUGGUCGGUACAGAGGGUUGCCAAACCGCAAGGUGGAGCCAAUCCCAGAAAGCCGAUCCCAGUCCGGAUCGGAGUCUGCAACUCGACUCCGUGAAGUCGGAAUCGCUAGUAAUCGCGGAUCAGAAUGCCGCGGUGAAUACGUUCCCGGGUCUUGUACACACCG
Molecule: ribosomal RNA, 439 nt
Filed under: uncultured bacterium
Lineage: Bacteria
Description: bacterial SSU rRNA
Rfam family: Bacterial small subunit ribosomal RNA
Source: RNAcentral